AGGUGCUGGUGGGAAAUGGUGCUCUGGAGCUCAGGGACUGGAAAGCAAAGCAUGGAAUAAACUGUUGGAUUGUGGGCAGCACUUGGCAAGGCUGCAGCCCUGGAAAUAGUGCUGGUCCGGCUGAAGAUGCUGUAUGCUGCCACCAGAGCCACGGUGAAGAAGGAGUUUGGAGGGGGGCACAUAAAGGACGAGAUGUUUGGCACAGUGAAGGAGGACGUGUCCCUGAGUGGUUACCAGAAGCACAUGUCCUCCUGCUCUGCCCCAGCCCCGCUGACCGCAGCUGAGCAGGAGCUGCAGCAGAUCCGCAUCAAC
Molecule: long non-coding RNA, 312 nt
Organism: Ficedula albicollis (Collared flycatcher)
Lineage: Eukaryota; Metazoa; Chordata; Aves; Passeriformes; Muscicapidae
Exons: 3
Source: RefSeq, a predicted model, not a curated record